RNAcentral lists this long non-coding RNA (529 nucleotides) under Solanum tuberosum (potato). RNAcentral's name for it is "long non-coding RNA (STUB_LNC001662)". Lineage: Eukaryota; Viridiplantae; Streptophyta; Magnoliopsida; Solanales; Solanaceae. The record is from RNAcentral.
UUCAAAACCCCUUGCCAGCAAAAGCAAGGGGUUUGCCUUCUGGGUCGAGCUCUUCGCAUCGGGCUUGCCUAGUGCGUGUUACCUCUCUUGUGUGGUUUGUGAGUUAUUUCAUAGGAGUGAGAGUUUUACCUGUGCGCACCCAAAGGAUAGAGGUUGCGGAUUUCCCUUGUCAAAAAACAAAAAAGAAAAACAAAGAGAAAAGAAGCAGCAAAAUUGAGGAUCGUACUAGCCCCGAGAGUGAAAGAAGAUGUUUGCAUAGGAGUGAGAGUUUUACCUGUGCGCACCCAAAGGAUAGAGGCUGCGGAUUUCCCUUGUCAAAAAACAAAAAACAAAAACAAAGAGAAAAGAAGCAGCAAAAUUGAGGAUCGUACUAGCCCCGAGAAUGAAAGAAGAUGUGAAGACAAUUACUGGAAGGGAGAAGUUAAAGAAACUACUGAAUUCUCUCUUCCUUUCUUUCCACAUCAGGAAAUGAGAAUUGGGUGAGAAGAGAGAAGGAGGUGGGGAUAGGAGAACAAAGAAACAAAGGAAC